AGAGUUUGAUCCUGGCUCAGAUUGAACGCUGGCGGUAUGCUUAACACAUGCAAGUCGAACGGAAACGAUACUAGCUUGCUAGUAGGCGUCGAGUGGCGGACGGGUGAGUAACGCGUAGGAAUCUGCCUGAUAGUGGGGGAUAGCCCGGAGAAAUUCGGAUUAAUACCGCAUAAUCUAUUCGUAGUAAAGUGGGGGACUUUCGAGCCUCACGCUAUCAGAUGAGCCUGCGUAAGAUUAGCUUGUUGGUGGGGUAAAAGCCUACCAAGGCUACGAUCUUUAGCUGGUCUGAGAGGAUGAUCAGCCACAUCGGGACUGAGACACGGCCCGAACUCCUACGGGAGGCAGCAGUGGGGAAUAUUGGACAAUGGGGGCAACCCUGAUCCAGCAAUACCGCGUGUGUGAAGAAGGCCUGAGGGUUGUAAAGCACUUUCAAUUGUGAAGAAAAGUUAACGGUUAAUAACCGUUAACCUUGACGUUAACUUUAGAAGAAGCACCGGCUAACUCCGUGCCAGCAGCCGCGGUAAUACGGAGGGUGCAAGCGUUAAUCGGAAUUACUGGGCGUAAAGCGUGCGUAGGCGGUUUAUCAAGUCAGAUGUGAAAUCCCCGGGCUUAACCUGGGAACUGCAUUUGAAACUGGUCAACUAGAGUAUGGUAGAGGAAAGUGGAAUUUCUGGUGUAGCGGUGAAAUGCGUAGAUAUCAGAAGGAACAUCAAUGGCGAAGGCAGCUUUCUGGCCCAAUACUGACGCUGAGGUACGAAAGCGUGGGUAGCAAACAGGAUUAGAUACCCUGGUAGUCCACGCCGUAAACGAUGAUAACUAGCCGUUGGGGGGAUUUACCCUUUAGUGGCGAAGCUAACGCGUUAAGUUAUCCGCCUGGGGAGUACGGCCGCAAGGUUAAAACUCAAAGGAAUUGACGGGGACCCGCACAAGCGGUGGAGCAUGUGGUUUAAUUCGAUGCAACGCGAAGAACCUUACCUGCCCUUGACAUCCUCGGAACUUGUCAGAGAUGACUUGGUGCC
This 1019-nucleotide ribosomal RNA is filed under the name marine metagenome. Its description in RNAcentral is "bacterial SSU rRNA". It matches the Rfam family "Bacterial small subunit ribosomal RNA", at positions 8 to 1018 of the family's 1533-position model. The record is from RNAcentral.